UCUCUUUGCAUCCGUCUUAACACAAUCAUCCUCUUCCCUUCUCUCUGUCACGAGACUCUCAAAAAAUGAAACCAAAGGACAGAUUCUUCGAUAAAGGUCCCUGUAAGGGCUCCUUCACCAUGCAUGUGUCUGGCUCUUUGAGAAUUGUGAGCAAUUGCCAUGGCCAGAAGGAACCUUUCCUUGGAGCUGAAGCUGAUGAUGAUGAUGAUGCUUCCUCUGGAAUGUUACUUGUGGACGAUAGUCCAUUGUUCUUCUGAUCCGGUGCUAUCCUACCUGAGCUUUUAAAUUACUCACUAUAGGGUCUCUUCUUCAUCUAAGUUCUACCCCCCAUUUUUCCCGUCUUCUUCUGUCAUUUGUGUUUCUUAUUUGAGUCUUCUUGACCUUGUAAGACCUUUUCUUGACCUUGUAAGACCCCAUGUGGGGUCUGUGGUCUUUGUUCUCACUUCUGUGAAAGACUCUAUAUCAGAAUCUGCUGAUAUAGUGUUUGAUCCCUCUGUUUCCCUUUUUCCGCCCAACUCAUCUUCUCCUUCCUUGUCUAUCCCUCCUGAGCUGUUUCAGUUUUCGGCCAAGCAUGCAACAAUUCCUAUUAAUAUGACAUGACACCAAAAAAAAAAAAAACUACAAAGGAAAAGCCCUUGAAACCCCUCAAAAAGGGCUUCUUGAAAUGUGCCAGCAAUGCAGAUGAAGCUUGACUUGAAGUAGACUUUAGGGGCUGGUUUUUGCUUUUAUGAUUGUGGUAAGAGGAAGCCCAGAUCGAGAGUAAUAAUAGUUAAAGAAAGAUGGGGAUGUUGUGUGAGAGUUGAAAAGCCAAGUGCGUAUCAAGUUAUUCUGUUAAGGCAAUCAAUUUUCGCUUUUGUAUCAUAGUGUGUGCAGAAUGUUUAUGCUGUUUCUGCUGCUGCUGCUUCUGCUGUAGUUGCAGGCAUCUCAGUUUCGUUGUUUUAUAUGUUGUUUGGCUAAGAAAGUGUCUACAUAUUCUCUUUGAUCUCUGCCCUUUAA
This is a long non-coding RNA of Neltuma alba, 996 nucleotides long. RefSeq lists it as uncharacterized. Lineage: Eukaryota; Viridiplantae; Streptophyta; Magnoliopsida; Fabales; Fabaceae. The transcript is spliced from 2 exons. The record is from RefSeq and is a predicted model, not a curated record.